GCAAUGCCUAUCUUUUGCCUUUCUUUGUAUCUCCAGCUCUUUGUAAAAUACCUAACACAUAACAAAUGCCUAAUAAACACUUAUUGACUGAUUGAUCUAGCUAGACCUGAAGGCAGGAAGACCUGAGACACUUUUUAGCUUUGUGACCUUGGCCAAGUCCCUUAAUUGUAGAAUUCCUUAAUUUCUUCAAAUAUAAAAUGGGGGAAAUAAUAGCACCCACCUCCUGAGAUUGUGUGAAGAUCAAAUGAGAUCAUAUUUGUGAAGAACUUAGCACACUGCCUGGUGCUUAGCAAGACCAUAAUUAAUGCUGGUUCCCUCCUCCUCCUUCCUUCUUAACCAUCCCAGUUUAUAGAGAUGUAUUUUUGUUUCCAAUGAACUCUCUUCAAUUUUCUCUGUUCUAGUUAUUUGGCACUUGGGAAAGCUUUUCUCUUUGUUAGCUGUCUUCAUAUAUCGUGUUUCACCAAUUUUGACAAUGAGCUCUGAAAGAACAGAAACCACAUUCCUACAGAACAUAUGACAAUGUCUUGUACACAAAAGAUGCUUGGUAGAUUUAUUGAAUGAGUGAAGAUAGGUUUCUCCCUACAGUCUGGUCUGUACUAUCCCUAAGCCUCCUCAAAAUAAGCAGUGUCCCUACCUUUUAGUACAGCUUCAUAUUGAGCAAUUCAAAUUCUCUCUUCCACUAAACCUGUUUAAUUUCAAAGGGAGAGUAAAGAAAAGAAACAAUCAGGAAAAUGCCAAGAGAAUUAUCUUCAUGGACCAUGAUUUCUUGAUUAUAGAAGUCAGCAGAAGUAGCAUUUGGAGAAGGGCUGGAACUGAAGUUUUGCAGCUCAGAAUACUCAAGACCUCCAAUAUGCUGUUGAGCACCACUCUGGGCCUUAUGAAUGCUGUUAAGCAGUGACUCAGAGGCAGUGAGACAGUGAUGACAAAAAAGAAGCAUAAGUUCCCCUCGCCUCAGAGACCUUCAGAGUGAGCUGCCUCAGUGCCCUGGGAAUGGAUACCAAUAAUCUCUUCCAAUAGUGAUCAU
This 1024-nucleotide long non-coding RNA is filed under the name Monodelphis domestica (gray short-tailed opossum). RNAcentral describes it as "lncRNA (ENSMODG00000050997.1)". Lineage: Eukaryota; Metazoa; Chordata; Mammalia; Didelphimorphia; Didelphidae. The record is from RNAcentral.